This 154-nucleotide small nuclear RNA is filed under the name Tupaia belangeri chinensis (Chinese tree shrew). RNAcentral's name for it is "Tupaia chinensis (Chinese tree shrew) U4 spliceosomal RNA". It matches the Rfam family "U4 spliceosomal RNA". From Rfam's summary of the family: U4 small nuclear RNA (U4 snRNA) is a component of the major U2-dependent spliceosome. The structure of U4 snRNA from yeast and human has been reported. The record is from Rfam by way of RNAcentral. Lineage: Eukaryota; Metazoa; Chordata; Mammalia; Scandentia; Tupaiidae.
AGCUUUGCACAGUGGCAGUAUCGUAGCCAAUGAGGUUUAUCCGAGGAGCGAUUAUUGCUAAUUGAAAAAAACUCAAAGCUCUCCCACAGACAAUGGACAAGACAGAGAAAAGACAAUCUAGUCUCUUGGUCCAUUAUCUGACAAAAGAGAAUUU